GCGCCUGUAGCUCAGUGGAUUAGAGCAUCAGACUACGAAUCUGAGGGUCGGGAGUUCAAAUCUCUCCAGGCGCG
Molecule: transfer RNA, 74 nt
Filed under: Deltaproteobacteria bacterium GWA2_50_8
Lineage: Bacteria; Deltaproteobacteria
Also listed under: 3 other names
Description: tRNA-Arg
Rfam family: tRNA
About the family: Transfer RNA (tRNA) molecules are approximately 80 nucleotides in length. Their secondary structure includes four short double-helical elements and three loops (D, anti-codon, and T loops).
Source: RNAcentral